ACACCACCUUCUCCGAGCAAACCAACCCAAAACCAAACAUGAACACCAAGCUUUGAAAACAACUUUACUAAAAUUUCUACUGAGCAAAAAUCUUACAACCGAAACCCUAAGUAUUCCAGAACCAAAGAUGAACAUCCCACAAUGUUCAUCAUCGGAAUCCCAAUGGAUCUGAGAAAAAACGAUCUCCAAUUCCAACAAAAUUAAACAAAAACCCAUAACAAAGCAAGCAACAAAAAGAAAUUUAAACCGAGAUAUAGCAAGAAUCCUUAUGGAUCUACCAUAUUCCAGACUUAACUUAACAAUGCAUGAAUAAGCAACAAAUCAAAAAAAUGCAAAUGGUGACUACACGGCGCUACAAUCGCCUUGGAAGGGUUGAAUAAACAGUGAAAGACGUCGUCGGAGCUUCGCGACUCCGGCGAGACCCCGAUGAGUAGUUACCCCAAAUAAGUGUCUUUCGAUCUGGGGUGCGAGCUUUCCUCCUGUUUCCGCUUAGUUUUCAGUCUAUCCUUCUUCUUACUCCUGUGUUUGGUUCGUUAGGGUCAAGCUCGGUUUACUCAAAGUUUCGGUGAUGAACUUUGAGCACCCAUGUGGCGUUUUGAGCUUUGGUGUGCAGGUUGGGGUGUGAUUUCAGCAGGGUGACGGUGCAAGAAGGGAGAGAUCCUUUCAAUGAAUGAGCGCCCCCUUUUAUAGAGCUCUGGGGAUACGAGGUUUUUCAUCCGUGAUCUGGCCAAAAAAUCCAAAAAUCUGUUAGAACGAAAUCUCUUUUGAGAUCUGGUGUGGUCCCCAAAUGAAUGCAGGUGGCAAGGAGGAUUUUUUUUUCGUUGGUAAGAUCUUAAGCUUGUAACCAUCCUCAACAACUCUUUUUUUACCGUGGUUCACGGUUAACAUGAAUUAUGGCGAUAUGAUUGGUUAUGGACCAGGGGCAUCACUUAACAGGCAUGAAUUGAGUUGUUCCGUUAAGUUGAAUCCUACUGAGAACAGCGACAUUGCUUUAAUGGAUGUUUGGAUAAUUAAGUAUUUUCUCGGCCAAUUUGCAGCGAUUGCAUCAUCGGACUCAUGUCAUGUACAUCAUUAUGUUGGUAUGUACUUGGAUUGAAACUGCAGCAGGUCUGUUACAAUGAUUUCAAGCAAUGUCCUCCAUGUUGCAUGCCUCCGGUGGCUAAUUCCUAACAGGUAUCCCAUUCAUCCAAAGUUGCCAGCUAAUCUCAGCAGCAUUGUAUCCUUUUCCUGCUGAAAAUGCAUCCAAAUAGAAAGCACUCCUCUUCAUUCUCACUCUUGCCUACUGCAUCUUUACAACAAUUUUUGAAAUUUUGCUGCUCAGUGAGUAUCUGUCUACCGAAAAGAAGAAAAAGUUGAUGUUCUUUAUAACCUUGUUAACACCUGUGAUAGUGAAUGCAGGUACAUGAAAAUUUUGAUGGUAAAUGCACUUGAUUUUCGAGUCUUGGCUUUGUUUCAAUGAGGUUAUAUGUAUUAUCCCAACAACAAUGUAAUCGCCUUAUGAUUGUAGUGUGACGGUGCGUCUGAUUUUGGCUUUGUUUUGUCAACCAUUGUAAAAUUCACUAUAAGGUUCCUCAAUACCAAUUCUUGUUUGAUUAGGUUUGUGUUUGCUGGACAAAGCAGGGUACAUAGUGAGUGAAUCUUUGUGGCUUCAUGUUGCGAUUGUAGGAUAUGCGAUUCCAACAUUUUAUCGCUCUUAUGCACUACAGACUCCCUGCUGUAAAUUGAGUUCAUGUUAUGUCCAUUGGUUCCAUGAGCAUUUCAGUCCUGUUGUCUUGCAGAAGGCAGCGUUCAACUAUCUGUUUAUAUUUCAAGGCAUUGCAACACGAUUGACAGUGGUUUGUAUCCUUGGUAUAUUGCAAUUUAUGAUCCAAAUUCACCAUGUUCUACCUUGCUGGGUGAACUUAUGUCGCGCCGCUCAUUCUAUGGUCAUGACUUAGAAUCGUAAGUUGCGGUAAAUGUAGGCUAGUUUGUGAUGAGGAACUUGGACUGAUAUAAGUUCUCUGAUUGUGUAGGUUUUAUGUGCUCAAAUCUGUUUGAAUCAUUUGUAGAAAUUAUGAACAUGUUCAUUUGUAUGUAAAAAUGCCUUGGUUGGCUCUGUAGGCGUGUCGACACGAAUAUAUCUUGUUUUUUUUGGAAGAAAUCACGAUAGAAGCAAGUAGACAUGGAAUUAGAUGAUAAUCCAGGAUGAGAUGGAUUAGGUUAAAUCUUAUGGUAGUUAAUGUAGGUCCAUUGACUUGGGCAAAUGAGUUGACCGAAAGUCAACUGUAAGAGUAGUCAAACUUGUGACUCUUUGUAUUUAUGCAUAAACGAAUUUUGGCUUAUGAAUGAAUGGAUUCGGAAGAUAUUGUAUGGAAA
Lathyrus oleraceus (garden pea) is the source of this 2355-nucleotide long non-coding RNA. RefSeq lists it as uncharacterized. Lineage: Eukaryota; Viridiplantae; Streptophyta; Magnoliopsida; Fabales; Fabaceae. The transcript is spliced from 4 exons. The record is from RefSeq and is a predicted model, not a curated record.